GUGUCAGCAGCCGCGGUAAUACGUAGGGGGCGAGCGUUGUCCGGAGUUACUGGGCGUAAAGGGCGUGUAGGCGGUUGGACAAGUCUGGUGUGAAAUGCAUUGGCUUAACCGGUGCGCUGCGCUGGAAACUGUCUGACUGGAGUUCGGGAGGGGUCACUGGAAUCCCCGGUGUAACGGUGAAAUGUGUAGAUAUCGGGGGGAACACCUGUGGCGAAGGCGGGUGACUGGACCGAAACUGACGCUGAUACGCGAAAGCGUGGGGAGCAAACAGGAUUAGAAACCCGGGUAGUCC
RNAcentral lists this ribosomal RNA (292 nucleotides) under uncultured bacterium. Its description in RNAcentral is "partial 16S ribosomal RNA". It matches the Rfam family "Bacterial small subunit ribosomal RNA", at positions 505 to 796 of the family's 1533-position model. The record is from RNAcentral.